RNAcentral lists this ribosomal RNA (481 nucleotides) under uncultured bacterium. RNAcentral describes it as "bacterial SSU rRNA". It matches the Rfam family "Bacterial small subunit ribosomal RNA", at positions 30 to 506 of the family's 1533-position model. The record is from RNAcentral.
UUGAACGCUGGCGGCAUGCUUUACACAUGCAAGUCGAACGGCAGCGGGGGCUUCGGAUGCUGACGAGUGGCGAACGGGUGAGUAAUACAUCGGAACGUGCCCAGUAAUGGGGGAUAGCUCGGCGAAAGCCGGAUUAAUACCGCAUACGCCCUGAGGGGGAAAGUGGGGGAUCGCAAGACCUCACGUUAUUGGAGCGGCCGAUGGCUGAUUAGCUAGUUGGUAGGGUAAAGGCCUACCAAGGCGACGAUCAGUAGCUGGUCUGAGAGGACGAUCAGCCACACUGGGACUGAGACACGGCCCAGACUCCUACGGGAGGCAGCAGGGGGGAAUUUUGGACAAUGGGGGAAACCCUGAUCCAGCAAUGCCGCGUGUGCGAAGAAGGCCUUCGGGUUGUAAAGCACUUUUGUCAGGGAAGAAAUCCUUUGGGCUAAUACCCUAGGGGGAUGACGGUACCUGAAGAAUAAGCACCGGCUAACUACGU